UAUCAAUAUUCACCCAUCCAGGAAGGUUAUCGGGUGAAGCCAAAAAGAGAGAUUUGUCUCUUGAGGAAAUUAAGGCUGCCCAAACUUAUAUUCUUCUAAAUUGUCAAGAGGUUGAGCCGUUUGUGAGCAUGUAUGUGCAACGUUUGCAAGAAGAGUUUCCGAAUCUCUCUCAAGAUCAAAUAGAUGAGAGUCUCGAAACAUAUUUUUCUGUAUGGUUCAAGGAAUAUGUUCGAUCCAACCAUAUUGAAAAUGAAUACUUGCGUAGUCUUGCUCAUGGACCAUUAAUAAGUGUGUAUUCUUAUCCAGUGUGUUUUGUUAAUGGAUACAAAUUUCAAACAGUA
This is a long non-coding RNA of Solanum stenotomum, 341 nucleotides long. RefSeq lists it as uncharacterized. The transcript has 3 exons. Lineage: Eukaryota; Viridiplantae; Streptophyta; Magnoliopsida; Solanales; Solanaceae. The record is from RefSeq and is a predicted model, not a curated record.